RNAcentral lists this ribosomal RNA (2723 nucleotides) under human gut metagenome. RNAcentral's name for it is "bacterial LSU rRNA". It matches the Rfam family "Bacterial large subunit ribosomal RNA". The record is from RNAcentral.
GAGCCGAUGAAGGACGCAACUAACGGCGAUACGCUACGGGCAGGUGUAAGUAACCUAAUAUCCGUAGAUUUCCGAAUGAGGAAACUCACUAGCUUGAAGAGUUAGUAUCACUUACUUUUAGUAAGUGAGGGGACACCUAGAGAACUGAAACAUCUUAGUACCUAGAGGAAAAGAAAGAAAUAUCUAUUCCCUGAGUAGAGGCGAUUGAAAGGGGAGAAGCCGCUGUCACCAAAGAGUUACAAAAUUUCUAUAUAGUUGAAUGGUAUGGAAAGACCAACGAAACAAAGUGAAAGUCUUGUAAGCGAAAUAUAGAGAUCUCUGACAGCAUAAGUAGGGCGGGGCACGUGGAAUCCUGUCUGAAGAUGCGAGGACCACCUCGUAAGGCUAAAUACUACCUAGUGACCGAUAGUGAACCAGUACCGUGAGGGAAAGGUGAAAAGAACCCCGGGAGGGGAGUGAAAAGAACCUGAAACCAUAUACUUACAAUUAGUCAAAGCUCCGUUAAUUUUAUUACGAGUGAUGGCGUGCCUUUUGUAGAAUGAACCGGCGAGUUACGAUAAUUAGCCAGGUUAAACUUUUAGGAGUGGAGCCAUAGCGAAAGCGAGUCUUAAUAGGGCGUUUGUUGAUUGUCGUAGACCCGAAACCGGGUGAUCUAGCCAUGUGCAGGUUGAAGCUUGAGUAAAACCAGGUGGAGGACCGAACCAGGGUCUGUUGCAAUAGACUUGGAUGACGUGUGGCUAGCGGUGAAAUUCCAAUCGAACUCGGAGAUAGCUGGUUCUCCCCGAAAUAGCUUUAGGGCUAGCGUUGUAACUAAAGUUUUAUGGAGGUAGAGCGCUGAAUGAGUGAUGGCCUCACCUAGAGGUACUGAUCUCAAUCAAACUACGAAUGCUAUAAAAGUAUAUACAGCAGUCAGACUGCGAGUGAUAAGGCCCGUAGUCAAAAGGGAAACAGCCCAGACCGCCAGUUAAGGUCCCCAAAUUUAUGCUAAGUGGGAAAGGAUGUGGAAUUGUUUAAACAACUAGGAGGUUGGCUUAGAAGCAGCCAUCCUUUAAAGAGUGCGUAAUAGCUCACUAGUCGAGUGAUUCUGCGCCGAAAAUGUAUCGGGGCUAAGCAUAAUACCGAAACUGCGGAAUUAGUUUAUACUAAUUGGUAGGGGAGCGUACUUUGCCAGAGAAGAUAGAUCGUAAGGACUAUUGGAGGCAAAGCAGUGAGUAUGCCGGUGUGAGUAACGAAAAGAUAGGUGAGAAUCCUAUCCGUCGAAAGCCUAAGGUUUCCAGGGGAAGGGUCGUCCUCCCUGGGUUAGUCGGGUCCUAAGGUGAGGCCGAAAGGCGUAGCUGAUGGACAUCAGGUUGAUAUUCCUGGACCACCUUGUAUAUCUGAUGGAAUGACGAAGAAGGCUAGCCACAGCUGAUUAGUGGAUUUCAGUUGAAGCACAAAGACGGGCAUAUAGGCAAAUCCGUAUGCUAUUAAACGUUGAAGUGUAAGAAUGUGUGGUGAAGCCAAGCUUCCAAGAAAAGUUUCUAAAGUAAGUGCAAGGUGCCCGUACCGCAAACGGACACACGUAGGCGAGGAGAGAAUCCAAAGACGCGCGAGAUAACUCUUGUUAAGGAACUCUGCAAAAUUACCCCGUAACUUCGGAAUAAGGGGGGCUCUUAGAAAUAGAGUCGCAGAUAAUAGGCCCAAGCGACUGUUUACCAAAAACAUAGGUCUCUGCUAAACCGCAAGGUGAAGUAUAGGGGCUGACGCCUGCCCAGUGCUGGAAGGUUAAGAGGAGAUGUUAGUUGGACGUAAGUCAAAUACAGCGAAGCUUCGAAUUGAAGCCCCAGUGAACGGCGGCCGUAACUAUAACGGUCCUAAGGUAGCGAAAUUCCUUGUCAGGUAAGUUCUGACCCGCACGAAAGGCGUAAUGAUCUGGAUACUGUCUCAACCAUAGACUCGGUGAAAUCUUAAUACCUGUGAAAAUGCAGGUUACCCGCAACAGGACGGAAAGACCCCAUGGAGCUUUACUACAGUUUGAUAUUGAAAUCAGGUAUGUCAUGUAGAGGAUAGGUGGGAGACUUUGAUGCUAAGGCGCCAGCCUUAGAGUAGUCAACCUUGGAAUACCACCCUUGAUAUAUUUGAUUUCUAACCUGCUACCGUAAUCCGGUAGGGGGACAGUGUCUGAUGGGUAGUUUGACUGGGGCGGUCGCCUCCCAAAAUGUAACGGAGGCGCCCAAAGGUUCCCUCAGAAUGGUUGGAAAUCAUUCGAAGAGUGUAAUGGCAGAAGGGAGCUUAACUGCGAGACCUACAAGUCAAGCAGAUGCGAAAGCAGGGCAUAGUGAUCUUGCGAUUCAGUAUGGAAUGGUCGUUGCUUAACGGAUAAAAGUUACCCUGGGGAUAACAGGCUGAUCCCACCCAAUAGUUCAUAUAGACGGUGGGGAUUGGCACCUCGAUGUCGGCUCGUCGUAUCCUGGAGGUGUAGUCGCUUCCAAGGGUUGGGCUGUUCGCCCAUUAAAACGGCACGCGAGCUGGGUUCAGAACGUCGUGAGACAGUUCGGUCCCUAUCCGUUGUGGGCGCUGGAAAAUUGAGAAGAGCUAUCCUUAGUACGAGAGGACCGGGAUGGACGUACCGAUGGUGUAUCAGUUGUCACGCCAGUGGCAGCGCUGAGUAGCUAUGUACGGAUGGGAUAACCGCUGAAAGCAUCUAAGCGGGAAGCCCUCUUCAAGAUGAGUUUUCCCUUUCU